RNAcentral lists this ribosomal RNA (402 nucleotides) under uncultured bacterium. Its description in RNAcentral is "bacterial SSU rRNA". It matches the Rfam family "Bacterial small subunit ribosomal RNA", at positions 358 to 775 of the family's 1533-position model. The record is from RNAcentral.
GGAAUAUUGGGCAAUGGAGGAAACUCUGACCCAGCAACGCCGCGUGAAUGAUGAAGGUCUUCGGAUUGUAAAGUUCUUUUCUAAGGGAAGAAGAAAGUGACGGUACCUUAGGAAUAAGCCUCGGCUAACUACGUGCCAGCAGCCGCGGUAAUACGUAGGAGGCGAGCGUUAUCCGGAAUGACUGGGCGUAAAGGGUGCGUAGGCGGAUUCUUAAGUCAGCGGUAAAAUGUCCGGGCUCAACCCGGGCCGGCCGUUGAAACUGGGGGUCUUGAGUGGGCGAGAAGUAUGCGGAAUGCGUGGUGUAGCGGUGAAAUGCAUAGAUAUCACGCAGAACUCCGAUUGCGAAGGCAGCAUACCGGCGCCCUACUGACGCUGAGGCACGAAAGCGUGGGGAUCGAACAG